UUGAAGAAUCGGCUCGCCUCCACGAUUCCAAUGUUAACUUUUCUCCCGUUCGUGUGCAUGCAGGACAUAUGGGAUCAUAUACUUUCCUUGCUGCCACUGCGGGAUGCUGCUCGACCUGGUUGUGUAUCUCGCGCGUUAUUAAGUUCCUGGACAAGCUGUCCCAACCUCAUCUUCACAAGGGAAACACUCGGCCUGACUGGAAAUGCACGUCGAAAACGUGAACUUGCACGAACUUUCGAAAACAGAGUUUACCGCGUUUUGAGAAAACACUCGGGCAUUGGUGUGAAGACAUUCAAGCUUCAUCACUGUGGUUCUGGUUUCAACAUUCGUGAUCUGAACAGGUGGCUUCAGAUUGCCGUUACUCCGGGUAUUGAAGAAGUCGUACUUUCAGUGCCAAUGGAAUGGGUGCCUUACAACUUCCCCUGCUCAGUUUUUUCCAACGGGAGUGGAAACUCGAUUCGGCAUCUUCACCUCGCCAGUUGUGCCUUCCACCCUGUUGCCGGACUUGCUCGCUUGACAAGGCUGCAUCUGUUUAGGGUGGACAUUACAGGAGAUGAGUUAGGGUGCCUACUUUCUAAUUAUUUUUCUAUGGAGGAGCUGAAUCUCACUAAAUGCGUGCUACACAGGCUCAACUGCCUGGUGGUGCUGCAGUGCGGAGCUCUAAAAAAGAUAGAAAAUGAAGCUCCAAAUCUUUGGAUUGUUCGCAUCGAUAGCCAACCAGAGAAAGUUCCAGUUGGAGAUGUAUUGCAAGUGAAGGACCUCCAAAUGCUGGAUUUUUACGAAUCUAACGUCAUUCAUUAUGCUCGUGCCAAGCUUCCGUCCAUUAUGCCAAAUCAUGAAACCCUCAGCCUAGGAUCGACCGGGGAGGUAAAAAACCCCAAGUUUUUUUUUCCGUCAGUACUCUGA
This 906-nucleotide ribosomal RNA is filed under the name Triticum aestivum (bread wheat). Its description in RNAcentral is "partial small subunit ribosomal RNA". Lineage: Eukaryota; Viridiplantae; Streptophyta; Magnoliopsida; Poales; Poaceae. The record is from RNAcentral.